UCCAGACUCCUACGGGAGGCAGCAGUGAGGAAUAUUGGUCAAUGGCCGAGAGGCUGAACCAGCCAAGUCGCGUGAGGGAAGACGGCCCUACGGGUUGUAAACCUCUUUUGUCGGGGAGCAAAGCGAGUCACGUGUGACUCAUUGAGAGUACCCGAAGAAAAAGCAUCGGCUAACUCCGUGCCAGCAGCCGCGGUAAUACGGAGGAUGCGAGCGUUAUCCGGAUUUAUUGGGUUUAAAGGGUGCGUAGGCGGACUGUUAAGUCAGCGGUAAAAGCCUGGGGCUCAACCCCGGCGAGCCGUUGAAACUGGCUGUCUUGAGAUGUCGAGAGGUAUGCGGAAUGCGCAGUGUAGCGGUGAAAUGCUUAGAUAUUGCGCAGAACUCCGAUUGCGAAGGCAGCAUACCGGCGGCGAUCUGACGCUGAGGCACGAAGGCGUGGGUAUCGAACAGGAUUAGAUACCCGUGUA
RNAcentral lists this ribosomal RNA (464 nucleotides) under uncultured bacterium. Its description in RNAcentral is "bacterial SSU rRNA". It matches the Rfam family "Bacterial small subunit ribosomal RNA", at positions 330 to 792 of the family's 1533-position model. The record is from RNAcentral.